CAAACUAUACACAACUUUCGACAACGGAUCUCUUGGUUCUCCCAUCGAUGAAGAACGCAGCGAAACGCGAUAGGUAAUGUGAAUUGCAGAAUUCCGUGAAUCAUCGAAUCUUUGAACGCACCUUGCGCUCUAUGGCAAUCCGUAGAGCAUGCCUGUUUGAGUGCCAUGAAAUCUCCCACCCCAAGCGGUUUUUAAAUGAAACGGCUUGGCGGAUGGGGUCUGGAUGGGUGCCUCUGCCUGCGCUACCUAGCACAGGCUCGCCCGAAAUGCAUGAGCGCCUUGAGACACUUUGCAUCCGCCUCUCUGUUUGGGAGGAGGCGGCCAAGCAGUGUUUUUCUCCUGGCAUGGCAUGAUACGUCAUUUGCUAUGUCGCCUAAAGGAGGAAUGUUUGGUUGUGUCUGCGUGUGCUUCGAACUUGCCUCUGUGGCACAUCCCAAUUUCACUUCUGGUCUCAAAUCAGGUAGGAUCACCCGCUGAACUUAAGCAUAUCAAUAAGCGGAGGAAAAGAAACUAACAAGGAUUCCCCUAGUAACGGCGAGCGAAGCGGGAAGAGCUCAAAUUUGAAAGCUGGCGUCUUCGGCGUCCGCGUUGUAAUCUCGAGACGUGUUUUCCGUGCGGCUCUAUGGACAAGUCCCUUGGAACAGGGCAUCGUAGAGGGUGAAAAUCCCGUACUUGCCAUGGAAGUACCGUGCUUUGUGAUACACGCUCCAAGAGUCGAGUAGUUUGGGAUUGCUGCUCAAAGUGGGUGGUAGACUCCAUCUAAAGCUAAAUAUCGGGGAGAGACCGAUAGCGAACAAGUACCGUGAGGGAAAGAUGAAAAGCACUUUGGAAAGAGAGUUAAAAGUACGUGAAAUUGUCGAAAGGGAAGCACUUGAAGUCAGCCAUGCUGCUUGAGACUCAGCCUGGCUUUUGCUUGGUGUAUUUCUCGGUAGCAAGCCAGCAUUGGUUUGUGUCGUCGGAGAAGCGUAUGGGGAAUGUGGCAUCCUCGGAUGUGUUAUAGCCCUGUGC
Molecule: ribosomal RNA, 1008 nt
Filed under: Chloroflexota bacterium
Lineage: Bacteria; Bacillati; Chloroflexota
Description: Chloroflexi bacterium (permafrost metagenome) partial 23S ribosomal RNA
Rfam family: Eukaryotic large subunit ribosomal RNA (bases 447-1008)
Source: RNAcentral